AAUUCCCUACCUGGUUCGUGUGGGAAGUAAGUAUUUGAGCCAACACAUCGGCCUUGGAAGAUCAAAUACCGGAAAGGAAAGGGAGCUCUCGAGAUUCCCGAGCUUUGCGUGAGAUCAUCCACUUUGUUAGAAGGCCCAAGUCUAUUCUCUCACACGGCCAAGAGUGGGGAAUUU
This 174-nucleotide non-coding RNA is filed under the name Candidatus Krumholzibacteriia bacterium. Its description in RNAcentral is "6S RNA". It matches the Rfam family "6S / SsrS RNA". Rfam says of the family: E. coli 6S RNA was the first non coding RNA to be sequenced, but its function was unknown until recently. It consists of 184 nucleotides that fold into an extended hairpin structure with a large single-stranded internal bulge. Lineage: Bacteria; Candidatus Krumholzibacteriota; Candidatus Krumholzibacteriia. The record is from RNAcentral.